CCCUUAGAUGUCCUGGGCCGCACGCGCGCUACACUGAUGCAUUCAACGAGUAUUUCCUUGGCCGAGAGGCCUGGGCAAUCUUUUAAACCUGCAUCGUGAUAGGGAUAGAUUAUUGCAAUUAUUAAUCUUGAACGAGGAAUUCCUAGUAAACGCAAAUCAUCAAUUUGCAUUGAUUACGUCCCUGCCCUUUGUACACACCGCCCGUCGCACCUACCGAUUGAAUGGUCCGGUGAAAUCUCGGGAUUGUGGCCAGUUCACUUUAUUGGGAGUUGGCUGCGAGAACUUGCUUAAACCUUAUCAUUUAGCGGAAGGUGAAGUCGUAACA
This 325-nucleotide ribosomal RNA is filed under the name uncultured eukaryote. Its description in RNAcentral is "partial 18S ribosomal RNA". It matches the Rfam family "Eukaryotic small subunit ribosomal RNA", at positions 1470 to 1796 of the family's 1831-position model. The record is from RNAcentral.